This is a long non-coding RNA of Chinchilla lanigera (long-tailed chinchilla), 812 nucleotides long. RefSeq lists it as uncharacterized. Lineage: Eukaryota; Metazoa; Chordata; Mammalia; Rodentia; Chinchillidae. The transcript has 3 exons. The record is from RefSeq and is a predicted model, not a curated record.
CAAAGCCCGCCCACCCCGCGAGCCAAUAAGAUCCAGGGAAAGCAGAUGUUGCGCAUUGAGUUUGCACCUGCUGAGAAUUAAACAUCCAACUGGAGCCUUCGCCCAGCCUUCUCGGUUCCCCUCUAAGCUUAUCGUGGGGGAGCGCCCGCCUCCUAACCCACAGUUAAGUGAAAGGUUCUUGCUGUGGUGCCCAAGCUGGCCUCAAACUCCUGGGUUCAAGCCAUCCUCCUGCCUCAGCCUCGCCAGUAGCUGAGUCUAUAGGCACGCCUGACUUCCACCAAUUUAAAAAUACGCAUCGCCUCUGCUCCCCAAAGAAUCAAGACUCCUUACUAGAAGCCGGAACUGGGGGCAGGAUCAUACUCUAUGCUGCUUCCAUCUUUAGGUCACAUGGAUGAAUCAAGUCCAGUGUUGUAGGAGAGAUUCUCCUCAACCUCUCCAGCCACCACCGUAGGCUCCAAGUCUUCCAGGUUGGUCUCAGAUGUUCUCCAGCCUGAUUCAUCAUCCCACUCAUUUCUCAGAGCGAGGGUCCCAUGCAGAGUCUCCUGCUUGUCCCCAAGAUAGGUGCUGGUGGGAGAAGGGGACGGGACCCAUCCCAGCACCUUGUUUCAACCGUGCUAACAUCUAGUCUGCACUGCAGCGCUUCCCACCCUUUUCUCCUGGUCUCUAAUGGGCCCCAGCAAGAAACUGUAGUCUAAGCCCUCAGCUUUGCCCCUGUAACCUAGAACCUCCACAGCACCUUCUUAACCUGUGUUCCUUGGAGCCCGUGAGGGCUUCAGACAACUGCAAAACAUAAACAUUUUUUUCAAAUCAUG